RNAcentral lists this ribosomal RNA (253 nucleotides) under uncultured bacterium. RNAcentral describes it as "partial 16S ribosomal RNA". It matches the Rfam family "Bacterial small subunit ribosomal RNA", at positions 524 to 776 of the family's 1533-position model. The record is from RNAcentral.
UACGUAGGGGGCGAGCGUUGUCCGGAAUCAUUGGGCGUAAAGAGCGCGUAGGCGGCCAGAUAAGUCCGGUGUGAAAGUCAAAGGCUCAACCUUUGAAUGCCGCUGGAAACUGUCUGGCUAGAGUCCGGGAGGGGCGAGUGGAAUUCCUGGUGUAGCGGUGAAAUGCGCAGAUAUCAGGAGGAACACCAAUGGCGAAGGCAGCUCGCUGGAACGGUACUGACGCUGAGGCGCGAAAGCGUGGGGAGCGAACAGG